RNAcentral lists this ribosomal RNA (1372 nucleotides) under uncultured bacterium. RNAcentral's name for it is "bacterial SSU rRNA". It matches the Rfam family "Bacterial small subunit ribosomal RNA", at positions 28 to 1381 of the family's 1533-position model. The record is from RNAcentral.
GAUGAACGCUGGCGGCGUGCCUAAUACAUGCAAGUCGAGCGAACAGACGAGGAGCUUGCUCCUUUGACGUUAGCGGCGGACGGGUGAGUAACACGUGGGUAACCUACCUAUAAGACUGGGAUAACUUCGGGAAACCGGAGCUAAUACCGGAUAAUAUUUCGAACCGCAUGGUUCGAUAGUGAAAGAUGGCUUUGCUAUCACUUAUAGAUGGACCUGCGCCGUAUUAGCUAGUUGGUAAGGUAACGGCUUACCAAGGCAACGAUACGUAGCCGACCUGAGAGGGUGAUCGGCCACACUGGAACUGAGACACGGUCCAGACUCCUACGGGAGGCAGCAGUAGGGAAUCUUCCGCAAUGGGCGAAAGCCUGACGGAGCAACGCCGCGUGAGUGAUGAAGGUCUUCGGAUCGUAAAACUCUGUUAUUAGGGAAGAACAAACGUGUAAGUAACUGUGCACGUCUUGACGGUACCUAAUCAGAAAGCCACGGCUAACUACGUGCCAGCAGCCGCGGUAAUACGUAGGUGGCAAGCGUUAUCCGGAAUUAUUGGGCGUAAAGCGCGCGUAGGCGGUUUUUUAAGUCUGAUGUGAAAGCCCACGGCUCAACCGUGGAGGGUCAUUGGAAACUGGAAAACUUGAGUGCAGAAGAGGAAAGUGGAAUUCCAUGUGUAGCGGUGAAAUGCGCAGAGAUAUGGAGGAACACCAGUGGCGAAGGCGACUUUCUGGUCUGUAACUGACGCUGAUGUGCGAAAGCGUGGGGAUCAAACAGGAUUAGAUACCCUGGUAGUCCGCGCCGUAAACGAUGAGUGCUAAGUGUUAGGGGGUUUCCGCCCCUUAGUGCUGCAGCUAGCGCAUUAAGCACUCCGCCUGGGGAGUACGACCGCAAGGUUGAAACUCAAGGGAAUUGACGGGGACCCGCACAAGCGGUGGAGCAUGUGGUUUAAUUCGAAGCAACGCGAAGAACCUUACCAAAUCUUGACAUCCUUUGACCCUUCUAGAGAUAGAAGUUUCCCCUUCGGGGGACAAAGUGACAGGUGGUGCAUGGUUGUCGUCAGCUCGUGUCGUGAGAUGUUGGGUUAAGUCCCGCAACGAGCGCAACCCUUAAGCUUAGUUGCCAUCAUUAAGUUGGGCACUCUAAGUUGACUGCCGGUGACAAACCGGAGGAAGGUGGGGAUGACGUCAAAUCAUCAUGCCCCUUAUGAUUUGGGCUACACACGUGCUACAAUGGACAAUACAAAGGGCAGCGAAACCGCGAGGUCAAGCAAAUCCCAUAAAGUUGUUCUCAGUUCGGAUUGUAGUCUGCAACUCGACUACAUGAAGCUGGAAUCGCUAGUAAUCGUAGAUCAGCAUGCUACGGUGAAUACGUUCCCGGGUCU